CAGGUUUACCUGUGUGACUGCGUACCUUUUGUAUAAUGGGUCAGCGACUUAUAUUCUGUAGCAAGGUUAACCGAAUAGGGGAGCCGGAGGGAAACCGAGUCUUAAUUGGGCGUUAAGUUGCAGGGUAUAGACCCGAAACCCGGUGAUCUAGCCAUGGGCAGGUUGAAGGUUGGGUAACACUAACUGGAGGACCGAACCGACUAAUGUUGAAAAAUUAGCGGAUGACCUGUGGCUGGGGGUGAAAGGCCAAUCAAACCGGGAGAUAGCUGGUUCUCCCCGAAAGCUAUUUAGGUAGCGCCUCGUGAAUUCAUCUCCGGGGGUAGAGCACUGUUUCGGCUAGGGGGCCAUCCCGGCUUACCAACCCGAUGCAAACUGCGAAUACCGGAGAAUGUUAUCACGGGAGACACACGGCGGGUGCUAACGUCCGUCGUGAAGAGGGAAACAACCCAGACCGCCAGCUAAGGUCCCAAAGUCAUGGUUAAGUGGGAAACGAUGUGGGAAGGCCCAGACAGCCAGGAUGUUGGCUUAGAAGCAGCCAUCAUUUAAAGAAAGCGUAAUAGCUCACUGGUCGAGUCGGCCUGCGCGGAAGAUGUAACGGGGCUAAACCAUGCACCGAAGCUGCGGCAGCGACACUGUGUGUUGUUGGGUAGGGGAGCGUUCUGUAAGCCUGUGAAGGUGUGUCGUGAGGC
Molecule: ribosomal RNA, 689 nt
Filed under: Salmonella enterica subsp. enterica serovar Senftenberg
Lineage: Bacteria; Pseudomonadati; Pseudomonadota; Gammaproteobacteria; Enterobacterales; Enterobacteriaceae
Also listed under: 2 other names
Description: partial 23S ribosomal RNA
Rfam family: Bacterial large subunit ribosomal RNA
Source: RNAcentral